RNAcentral lists this ribosomal RNA (490 nucleotides) under uncultured bacterium. RNAcentral describes it as "partial 16S ribosomal RNA". It matches the Rfam family "Bacterial small subunit ribosomal RNA", at positions 30 to 507 of the family's 1533-position model. The record is from RNAcentral.
AUUGAACGCUGGCGGCAGGCCUAACACAUGCAAGUCGAACGGUAACAGGAAGAAGCUUGCUUCUUUGCUGACGAGUGGCGGACGGGUGAGUAAUGUCUGGGAAACUGCCUGAUGGAGGGGGAUAACUACUGGAAACGGUAGCUAAUACCGCAUAACGUCGCAAGACCAAAAAGGGGGACCUUCGGGCCUCUUGCCAUCGGAUGUGCCCAGAUGGGAUUAGCUAGUAGGUGGGGUAACGGCUCACCUAGGCGACGAUCCCUAGCUGAUCUGAGAGGAUGACCAGCCACACUGGAACUGAGACACGGUCCAGACUCCUACGGGAGGCAGCAGUGGGGAAUAUUGCACAAUGGGCGCAAGCCUGAUGCAGCCAUGCCGCGUGUAUGAAGAAGGCCUUCGGGUUGUAAAGUACUUUCAGCGGGGAGGAAGGGAGUAAAGUUAAUACCUUUGCUCAUUGACGUUACCCGCAGAAGAAGCACCGGCUAACUCCGUG